UACGUAGGUGGCAAGCAUUGUCCGGAAUUAUUGGGCGUAAAGGGCGCGUAGGCGGUCCCUUAAGUCAGAUGUGAAAUCCCGAGGCUCAACCUCGGGCGUGCAUUUGAAACUGGGGGACUAGAGUGCAGGAGAGGUAAGUGGAAUUCCUAGUGUAGCGGUGAAAUGCGUAGAUAUUAGGAGGAACACCAGUGGCGAAGGCGACUUACUGGUCUGUAACUGACGCUGAGGCGCGAAAGCGUGGGGAGCAAACAGG
This 253-nucleotide unclassified non-coding RNA is filed under the name uncultured Gracilibacteraceae bacterium. RNAcentral describes it as "contains 16S-23S intergenic spacer region". It matches the Rfam family "Bacterial small subunit ribosomal RNA", at positions 524 to 776 of the family's 1533-position model. Lineage: Bacteria; Bacillati; Bacillota; Clostridia; Eubacteriales; Gracilibacteraceae. The record is from RNAcentral.